This is a long non-coding RNA of Coregonus clupeaformis (lake whitefish), 114 nucleotides long. RefSeq lists it as uncharacterized. The record is from RefSeq and is a predicted model, not a curated record. The transcript is spliced from 3 exons. NCBI's taxonomy places the organism in Eukaryota, Metazoa, Chordata, Actinopteri, Salmoniformes, Salmonidae.
UAUAUUAUAGGUCUAGUUCCUAUAGGUAUAUUAUAGGUCUAGUUCCUAUUGGUAUAUUAUAGGUCUAGUUCCUAUUGGUAUAUUAUAGGUCUAGUUCCUAUAGGUAUAUUAUAG